UACGGAGGGAGCUAGCGUUGUUCGGAAUUACUGGGCGUAAAGCGCACGUAGGCGGCUUUUUAAGUCAGGGGUGAAAUCCCGGGGGCUCAACCCCGGAACUGCCCUUGAAACUGGAAGGCUAGAAUCUUGGAGAGGCGAGUGGAAUUCCGAGUGUAGAGGUGAAAUUCGUAGAUAUUCGGAAGAACACCAGUGGCGAAGGCGACUCGCUGGACAAGUA
This 217-nucleotide ribosomal RNA is filed under the name uncultured bacterium. RNAcentral describes it as "partial 16S ribosomal RNA". It matches the Rfam family "Bacterial small subunit ribosomal RNA", at positions 524 to 739 of the family's 1533-position model. The record is from RNAcentral.